Molecule: long non-coding RNA, 1212 nt
Organism: Ctenopharyngodon idella (grass carp)
Lineage: Eukaryota; Metazoa; Chordata; Actinopteri; Cypriniformes; Xenocyprididae
Exons: 5
Source: RefSeq, a predicted model, not a curated record
AAGUAACAAGAAGAAUAUCAACGUGCAGUAAACGCUGGAAGUGAAUGACACCGGAAACCAGACACAUUCAUUUUACAAAUGGCCGCGCCCGCGCUCUUACGUAAAAAAAUAAGGUGGUGCUCUGGUGCUGUUGUCCGAAACGAAGAGUUUUCGUGAAUGAACCUGAAGAGAUGAAUCCUCCCACGUACUACAAUCCAGACAUCCCCAUGUACUCAACGCAAAGCACGUUUGAUACAGCCAACGGCAAACAAGCGGACGUCAGAGAAAAACCUCCGAAAAUUCGAACAGGAAUGUACGUGGUGAACAAAUGAUGGACACAGGUUCUCUGACCCCCCAACAUUGUCACUCACUCCACGUGUGAAGAACAAGGCCCGAGGAAAAUUUUUGUUGGAAGAAUAACUGUCAUACAACCGGCACUGUACUGCAGGAAGCUGAACAGACAGGGAAAUGAUUUUACAUGCCAUUACGAUCUAUUUAGAAUUUAUUUUCCUACAAUAUACCUUUGCACAAUGUACUUUGUAACUUUUACACAUUGAUUGAAUGAUGUGAUGUAUUAACAGUGAUUUAGUUAAAUUAAAGAGUUUCUGAAAAAAGGCCGUGGGAUGAAUAGUCUUUUCUCUGGAGGAUUGAGGUCAAGAAUCAGAGCUGAAAUGAGUCACAUAAUGUAACAUUUAUGUUUAAAUUGCAAUGUAGAAUGAUAGUGUAACCUAUAGGUGAACAGAAUCAACUGAACAGAACUAGAUGGUCAUAAGAGGGGCUCUGUGUCACUUCAGGUCAAAUUCUGCUUAAAAGCAAAGAGGGGAAAUAUAUCCUGAUGGAGAAAUCAAGAUAUGGAGUAUUUGAACAGCAAGAACACAAUGUGUUAGAGGAAGGAUUAGGCAAGUGAAAUGCUGCAGAUUAUUUUUGAGGUAAAGUGUAAUGAUGAAAUUCUUGUACAUCUAUCUUUGUGAGGACAAACAUUGACAAUGCAAUCUCUAGCUCCUUACCCCAACCUUACCCAUCACAACUAAGUGCGUAGCCUGAACCCUAAACCUACCCUGAACCUAAUUAUAACCUUAUCACCAAAAACAAAGUCUUGACCCUAAAACAGGCCUUUAAAGGGGUCUCAGAAAUUGCGGACCAGCCAAAGUCUCCUCACUUUACUCUCUUUGUCUCUCUGAUGGUUUAAAACUCAAACCGGACUCAAAAAGAUAACUGUACAAGCACACACAC